CCGUGUCUCUGGCUCCCCGCCCUCCUACCUGGUUGAUCCUGCCGCCAUGCAUGUCUAAGUGAAUGGCUCAUUAAAUCAGUUGUGGUUCCUUUGAUCGCUAGCUCCUCUCCUACUUGGAUAACUGUGGUAAUUCUGGAGCUAAUACAUGCCGAUGGGGGCUGACCCCCCCUCGUGGGGGUGAUGUGUGCAUUUAUCAGAUCAAAACAAACCCAGUCAGCCUCCCCCUGGCCCCGGCCAGGGGACGGGCGCCGGUGGCUUCGGUGACUCUAGAUAACCUCGGGCUGAUCGCACACCCACCCCCCGUGGUGGCGACGACCCAUUUGAAUGGCCCUAUCAACUUUCGAUGGUAGUCUCUGUGCCUACCAUGGUGACCACGGGUGACGGGAAUCAGGGUUCAAUUCUGGAGAGGGGGCCUGAGAAACGGCUACCACAUCCAAGGAAGGCAGCAGGCGAGCAAAUUACCCACUCCCGACCCGGGGAGGUAGUGAUGAAAAAUAACAAUACAGGACCCUUUUGAGGUCCUUUAAUUGGAAUGAGUCCACUUUAAAUCCUUUAAUGAGGAUCCAUUGGAGGGCAAGUCUGAUGCCAGCAGCCGCGGUAAUUCCAGCUCCAAUAGCGUAUAUUAAAGUUGCUGCAGUUAAAAAGCUCCUAGUUGGAUCUUGGGAGCGGGCGGGAAGUCCGCCUUGAGGCGAGGCGAGCCACCACCCGUCCCCACCCCUUGCCUCUAGGCGCCCCCUCGAUGCUCUUAGCUGAGUGUCCCGCGGGGCCUGAAGUGUUUACUUUGAAAAAAUUAGGGUGUUCAAAGCCGGCCGAGCCGCCUGGAUACUGCAGCUAGGGAUAAUGGAAUAGGACUGUGGUUCUAUUUGGUUGGUUUUCGGAACUGAGGCCUUGAUUAAGAGGGAUGGCCAGGGGCAUUCGUAUUGCGCCGCUAGAGGUGAAAUUCUUGGACAGGCGCAAAGCGUCUGAGCGAAAGCAUUUGCCAAGAAUGUUUUCAUUAAUCAAGAACGAAAGUCGGAGGUUUGAAGACGAUCAGAUACCGUCAUAGUUCCGACCAUAAACGAUGCCAACUGGCGAUGCAGCGGCGUUAUUCCCAUGACCCGCCGGGCAGCUUCCGGGAAACCAAAGCCUUUGGGUUCCGGGGGGGAGUAUGGUUGCAAAGCUGAAACUUAAAGGAAAUGACAGAGGGGCACCACCAGGAGUGGAGCCUGUGGCUUAAUUUGAUUCAACACGGGAAACCGCACCCCACCCCAGACAUGGACAAGAUUGACAGAUUGAUAGCUCUUUCUCGAUUCCGUGGGUAGUGGUGCAUGGCCGUUCUUAGUUGGUGGAGCGAUUUGUCUGGUUAAUUCUUUUUUUUUUUUUUUUAAAGAUUUUAUUUAUUUAUUUAUUCGACAGAGAUAGAGACAGCCAGCGAGAGAGGGAACACAAGCAGGGGGGAGUGGGAGAGGAAGAAGCAGGCUCAUAGCAGAGGAGCCUGAUGUGGGGCUCGAUCCCAUAACGCCAGGAUCACGCCCUGAGCCGAAGGCAGACGCUUAACCGCUGUGCCACCCAGGCGCCCCUGUCUGGUUAAUUCUGAUAACAAAUGAGACUCUGGCAUGCUAACUAGUUACGCGACCCCCGAGUGGUCGGUGUCCCCCAACUUCUUAGAGGGACAAGUGGCGUUCAGCCACCAGAGAUUGAGCAAUAACAGGUCUGUGAUGCCCUUAGAUGUCCGGGGCUGCACGCGUGCUAAACUGACUGGCUCAGUGUGUGCCUACCCAACAAUGGCAGGCGCGGGUAACCCGUUGAACUCCAUUCGUGUUGGGGAUCAGGGAUUGCAAUUAUUCCCCAUGAACGAGGAAUUCCCACUAAGUGAGGGUCAUAAGCUUGUGUUGAUUAAGUCCCUGCCCUUUGUACACACCGCUCAUCGCUACUACCGAUUGCAUGGUUUAGUGAGGCCCUCGGAUCGGCCCCACCGGGGUCGGCCCACGGCCCUGGUGGAGUGCUGAGAAGAUGGUUGAAUUUGACUAUCUAGAGGAAGUAAAAGUAACAAGGUUUCCGUAGGUGAACCUGUGGAAG
This 2058-nucleotide ribosomal RNA is filed under the name Ursus arctos horribilis. RNAcentral's name for it is "SSU rRNA". It matches the Rfam family "Eukaryotic small subunit ribosomal RNA". The record is from RNAcentral. Lineage: Eukaryota; Metazoa; Chordata; Mammalia; Carnivora; Ursidae.